UAGCGAUGUGUGGUUAUUUAUCUCUAUAUUAUUUAUCUACCCAAGCUGUAGGUAAUUCUUCUAGAAUAACUCCAUCAUUCCUCAAUGCUGUUUCAGAAUAGGUUCAACAUAUACCUAGAAGCUAAUGGCUAUUUAAGAUAAUGAAUGAAAGAUACACAAGCAUAUUUAUCCUCAAGCCUUAUCAGUAACAAUCAAUAAUUGAUCAAUCAUGAAGCUAAUUAAUAAUUUACUAAAAAAACAUUUGGUAAUAAUCUUCUAUAAAUAAGCAUUCUCAAUGUUAGAACUGGUUAUUAUUGAAUGCUCUUGAUUACAAGCUUGGUCUUAGUAUUGCUUUGAGGUUUGCAGCUAUUUAUUAUUGGCCUUUAGCUUUAAUUGUUUGAUAUCUGCUGAUGUUUCAUAAAGUUGCAAUUGUUCUAUGUAUACACAAAUAUGAAUUGAAAUCAUCUAUCUGGCUAUAACCUACAUGAUGAUGUUCAUGAGUUGUGUUUAUCUACCUAAUGUUUUUUGUUAUAUAGCUUAAAUUCCAUGAGAAUGUCAAAUACAAAAGUGCUUACCUUUGUUGGAUUUCAUGCAUUUGAAACAAAUUAUAAUCGAUGGACUUAUUCAUAUCAUGAUUAUUCCCAGCUGCCGUCCUUUUCAUCAUCACUUCUUUGUUUUUGCAUUCCAAGGUCUUUGCAUGUUUUACAUUUAUUUAUGUUAUUUGUUAUAUACAUAAUAUUAUUAUUAUGUAAUAUAUAAUAUGAUGAUUUCAUGAUUUACAUUUAGAUUUGUUCUUUUAUGUUUGGUAAAGUUACUUUUCUGGUUAUUAGCUGUUAUUUUCUCAGUUUUUACAUUGCACUUAAAUUAUCUUCCACAAGAAUUAUUAAAAAUAUCCUUGUGUAGCUUUCUUUCUUUUGAGGAAAUGUCAUAGGGAAAAAUAUCAAAUGGUCCAUAGUUUUUAUUAAUUAAGAGGCAAUUAUGGGAAUCAUUUGACGUGGAUAGAUAUUAUAUUAACAGUUGGUGUUUGACGUGUACAUAUAUGUUGGUAUUCAUUUGAUGUGUAUUUGCGAGUUCGUGGUUAGGUUGUUUUUUUGUUUGUUUUUUGUUUUUAACAUAGCUUAAUUAUAUUAGUAAACCAUGUCAUGCACAUAUAUGGACAAAUUAAUGAAUAAUUGAAGUGGACACUGCAAAGUCCAAUAGGAGAAAGUUAAGAAUAAUUUUUCUUAUAAUCACAAAUUAAUUUAUGUACAAAGACAUGGUAUAUUUUUAUGUCAUUAGAAAAACAAAUCUUUCUUGCAAUAAGGAAACUUUUAGACAUGUUAUCCCAAAAUUUAUUCUUUGUCUACUAAUUCAUACAAUGAGAUUUUGCAUAUAUAAUAUAUCAGUUAAUCAUGUUUGUUUUUUCCCCUUUACACAAGUUCUGCAAUGAGCUUCAAGUAUAUUUCCCAACUUAAACCCCCCGGCCAAAAUCAGAUAGUCAAGAUCAGAGUAACAAGGAUAUGGGAUUGUUAUGUCCCAACUUCAAACAAGUUUCUUGGUAUUGCAUUCUUGGCAACUGAUAGCCAGGUACUUAGAGAUAGUUUUAUAGAUAUAUAUACUUAUUUAGAAGCUUUAAUUGGUCUAACACAAAUCAUUAUGCAUAUACACUGUAAUUUACAAUGGACACAUAAUUACUAGGGAGAUACGAUACAUGUUCAAAUUAGGGAUUUUGAUUGCCCAAAGUUUCAACAAAAACUUAUUGAAGGUUCAGUCUACAAGAUUGCUAAAUUCCAAGUAGUUCGACCAAAUAUCUGAUAUUUAUCAACCACAAGAGAAUUUGCUAUCCUUUUUAGCUCCAUUACCCAGCUGGCAUUAAUACCUGAUGAUCUUACUCCCUAUCCUCGAUAUCACUUUGAAUUUCUUGAUCGGGAAAAAAUGGCACCGCAAGCAAAUUCUGACAAAUAUUUGAUAGAUGCAAUUGGAACUCUAAUGUCCAUUGGCCCAAUUCAGAAUGUUCAAUUGACCAAAUAUGAAAAAAUUGUGGAAAAAAGAGAUGUUAUACUAAAAGAAGCAAGUGGUGAUGAGUUGAAGAUAACAGUAUAGGAAUCAACUUUUCCUCAAUUAAAUGCCAACAAACUCCUUCAGAUCCGACCAAAUCCUGUGCUUUUAUUUGUUGGAACAAUUAUAAAGACAUUCCAAGGAAUAAUCUAUCUAGCUUCAACUUCAGCUACAAAGAUCUAUAUCAAUUUGGAUAUUCCUGAGACGAAAGCAAUACAACAACAACAAAAGCUUGGAGAACAACCAGUGCAAUUACUAGCUUUUUCAAGUGAAAUUCCAAAUAUGCAACAACGAAUUCAACAAGCAAAAUAUGCUACAAUUGCUCAGCUAUUGCAAUUUUCACCAGCUACAAUUGGUAACACACUAUUUACAUGUGAUGCAUGGGUAGAGCAAAUCGAUACUUCAAAUGGUUGGUUCUUUUAUUCUUGCAAUAUGCAAAAAAACCAUGAUUGAAACAGAAAAUGGUGAGCUUGCUUGCUAUGACCAUGGCCAAGGAAUUCCAAAGUUGACGUUAAGACUGCGGAUGAUAAUGAAAGAUGAAACUGCUGAUAUGGAAAUUACAGCGUUCGACAAACAAGCUGAAUUAAUGACAAAUCUUAAUGUGGAUUUUUUGCAAGCUAUUGAAGAAAUAUCACAGACAAUAGUUCCAGAGAAAAUACUUGCUGUAGUGAAGAAAAAAUUUACCUUUACUAUUGGCCUGCCUCCAAAAGCGAUUAAAGAUGAUGUCUUGACUUAUAGAAUUUACAGAAUAAAGCCAAUUCAACUAGAAGGCCAAAGUUCUACCCAAACACAAAAAGUACAACUAGCAUUUACCCAAUCCUCUAUGGAUAAUAAAUCGGAGAUUACAGAAACAAAACCCCAAAAUGACACAGAUGACACACUUGAAUCCUUUUUACAAGUUGGCCUUCCACAAGGUUUAGCUUUAGUAGAAUCUCCAGCUAAGAAACAGAGAAGGUAAGAGUCUGAGAACACAAAAUGAAAGACAAUAACUAAACUUUGUUAUAAAUAAUUCCAAAACUAAUGCAUAUUAUGAAACAAGGGAAAGGAGAAGAUUGAAUGAAAAACCUUUGAAGACAUGAACAACAAGAAACUCCGCAUGAAAAUUGGCAAAGCACAAGAAGCACAUACAUCUGUGAAAAAAUGUUAAUUACUUCCACUACUUUGAAGUUUGCAAAUUAUAUGAGUGUUUAAAUAAUGUGUAUGUUGGUGUAGCCUGUAAUGUUUAAUUGUUCUUAAAAUGUUCAUUUUGUUGUAAAUCUUUACAGUGUGGGUAUAAUUACAAAGAUUGUAUUAAUGGUGAAAUAAUGUAUUCUAUUGACCAUGUUGGUAUGUUAUAGUCUGUAAUUUUAGUAAAUUAGAUUUAAAUAUUAAAUUAGUGAUAAGCCUUUUGUACCUUAAAUCUAUGAAGUCAGGCUUCGAUGAUAUCUUCAUGAAAUUGAGGUAAAUAACGCAACUUUUUUGCAGCUUUUUCUCUAUAUCUCUAUAUCAGCUCACCACCAUGAUCCUGCUGGAUUCUCUUUUCUCCGUCCACUCAAUCACAUUCUCGAUGAAAAUAGGUAUCUAGUGUUCUCCAUUUUUCUUUCCUUUCUUGGUUUUUUCUUGUGUGGACACACAGGGCUGAUGGCAUUGCCAUGGAAGAUCUCAAUAUCGUGUUGGCUGCUGUUAUUGCUCUUGUUGCUGAUCCAAUUGCUUCUCUGGUUGAUACUGCAUUUGUAGGCCAUUUGGGUAUGCAUAAUUAUUGUACUGAUCCAUGACUGAUAUUUCCCCUCUUAUUCAAGAAUCAACGAUAAUAUUGAGCAAAUUCUUCAAAAAUGGAUGAAUGUUUAAUUUGUGAAGGUAAAGAGCGAGUAGAGAUGAGUUGGUUGUGAUUCUUGUGAAAGGUAGUAAAUUUAGAGAACCAAAAUUUGAGUUGGAUAUUGGUACUGUUGCAUUUGGCAGGGUCUGUUGAACUGGCAGGUGUUGGUGUUUCAGUUUUGAUUUUCAACUUGGUUUCUAAAUUGUUUAACAUCCCUUUGCUUAACAUCACAGCUUCAUUUGUUGCGGAGGAGCAGGCUUUGGAUGUUGGCAUGAAAAACUAUUCCUCGAGAGUAGCUACAAGAGGAGCGUAUCUAUGCAUGGUAACUCGUAUGCAUCCCAAAAAACCUGCAUCAGUGUUUAACACUGAAAUAUUAAAGGACAUACAAGAUGACAAUGAUAAGUGAGUGCUUCAUUCCUCUGUUGAUAAUAAAGGAAAUGUUCCUCUAAGGGCAUCUAUUGGACUUUGGAGAGCAUCUCUCUUCAUAAUAGCUUAAGACUGCUGCUUAAACUGUGAACUACUGGUUCGGAGUAACAACCAUAUUGCCCCUUCUUGGCGGAUUCAUUGCUGAUGCCUACCUGGGAAUGUUUUCCACUAUUCCCUUCUCAGUUUUCAUCUAUAUUGUGCGGGUUAUAUAGAGCUUCGUGAUGUAUUUAAAUAUAGCUUUGUUAUUGCCUUGAUUGAUGCUUAGAUAUGGGGAGUAGUUGGAACCUUCUGGUGGAAAUUUUUGGGUCUUUAUUGAGCCAGUAAUCCCAUAAAGUUCAUUCUAAUUGUUUCUUCAAAGGAUAUGCUAUUCGUCAAUCAUUAGCAAUUUUAGCUGUUGAUGUUCCCUGUAAUUUUGACUGCGAAAUGGGACUUGAGCUUAUGCCAUUGUCAGGCUAUGUGCUACUGCACAUCGGAGUUGAGUUUUAUGU
Long non-coding RNA from Dioscorea cayenensis subsp. rotundata (Guinea yam), 4725 nucleotides. RefSeq lists it as uncharacterized. Lineage: Eukaryota; Viridiplantae; Streptophyta; Magnoliopsida; Dioscoreales; Dioscoreaceae. The record is from RefSeq and is a predicted model, not a curated record. The transcript has 10 exons.